GUGUCAGCAGCCGCGGUAAUACAGAGGAGCCAAGCGUUGUCCGGAUUGACUGGGCGUAAAGCGCACGCAGGCGGUCGGGCACGUGGGGUGUGAAAUCUGGCCGCUUAACGGCCAGGCGCCAUCCCAUACGGCCGGACUGGAGGGCUGCAGAGGUCGAUGGAAUUGCCGGUGUAGUGGUGAAAUGCGUAGAGAUCGGCAGGAACACCCAGGGGGAAACCAGUCGACUGGGCAGCACCUGACGCUGAGGUGCGAGAGCGUGGGGAGCGAACCGGAUUAGAUACCCGCGUAGUCC
Molecule: ribosomal RNA, 292 nt
Filed under: uncultured bacterium
Lineage: Bacteria
Description: partial 16S ribosomal RNA
Rfam family: Bacterial small subunit ribosomal RNA
Source: RNAcentral